Molecule: ribosomal RNA, 574 nt
Filed under: uncultured bacterium
Lineage: Bacteria
Description: bacterial SSU rRNA
Rfam family: Bacterial small subunit ribosomal RNA
Source: RNAcentral
CGGAUAGAGAGGGGCCUAUGGUCUAUCAGCUAGUUGGUGAGGCAAUGGCCCACCAAGGCAAUGACGGAUACCGGGUGUGAGAGCAUGACCCGGCUCAAUGGGACUGAGACACUGCCCGGACUCCUACGGGAGGCUGCAGUUGAGAAUCUUUCCCAAUGGACGAAAGUCUGAGGAUGCGACGCCGCGUGGAGGAUGAAGGCCUUCGGGUUGUAAACUCAUUUUAUUAAGGAGGAACGUUAUUAGGUUAAUAGCCUUUUAAUCUGACUGUACUUAAUGAAUAAGUCACGGCUAACUCCGUGCCAGCAGCCGCGGUAAUACGGAGGUGGCAAGCGUUACUCGGUUUGACUGGGUGUAAAGGGUCCGCAGGCGGCUUUACAAGUGAAAGGUGAAAUCUUUCGGCUCAACCGAAAAAUUGCCUUUCAAACUGUAUGGCUUGAGGAUGGAAGAGGAGAGUGGAACUGUCGGUGUAAAGGUGAAAUUUGUGCAGAUCGGCAGGAACGCCCGUGGAGAAGUCGGCUCUCUGGUCCAUAUCUGACGCUCCGGGAACAAAGCUACGGGAGCCACAGGAUUAAUA